UAUUUAUUAGAUAACAGACCAAUAUUCCUCGUGUCUAUUGUGGUGACUCAUAGUAACUGAUCGGAUCGCAUGGCCUUGUGCCGCGACUAACCAUUCAAGUUUCUGACCCAUCAGCUUUCGAUGGUAGUGUAUUGGACUACCAUGGCUUUCACGGGUAACGGAGGAUUAGGGUUCGAUUCCGGAGAGGGAGCCUGAGAAACGGCUACCACAUCUAAGGAAGGCAGCAGGCGCGUAAAUUACCCAAUCCUGACUCAGGGAGGUAGUGACAAGAAAUAACGGGUCGGGGCAUUCGCCUCGGGAUUGCAAUGAAUCGAAUUUACACCCCUUAAUGAGGAUCAAUUGGAGGGCAAGUCUGGUGCCAGCAGCCGCGGUAAUUCCAGCUCCAAUAGCGUAUAUUAAAGUUGUUGCAGUUAAAAAGCUCGUAGUUUGAUUUCUGGACGGGCGCCAACACCCGCUUGUUUAGUGUGGAGGCGGCGCCCGCCCAUCCUUCUGUUAACGCCACCGGCAUUCGUUUGCUGGCGGCGGGCUCAGAUAUUUUACCUUGAGAAAAAUUAGAGUGUUUCAGGCAGGCUUGCG
RNAcentral lists this ribosomal RNA (576 nucleotides) under uncultured eukaryote. RNAcentral describes it as "SSU rRNA". It matches the Rfam family "Eukaryotic small subunit ribosomal RNA", at positions 203 to 790 of the family's 1831-position model. The record is from RNAcentral.